GAUGAACGCUAGCUACAGGCUUAACACAUGCAAGUCGCGGGGCAGCAUGGGGGUUGCUUGCAAUCCCCGAUGGCGACCGGCGCACGGGUGAGUAACGCGUAUCCAACCUGCCCUUCACCACGGGAUAACCCGGCGAAAGUCGGACUAAUACCGUAUGUUGUCCAUUGACGGCAUCCGAUUUGGACGAAAGGUUUGGCGGUGAAGGAUGGGGAUGCGUCCGAUUAGCUGGACGGCGGGGUGACGGCCCACCGUGGCGACGAUCGGUAGGGGUUCUGAGAGGAAGGUCCCACACACUGGAACUGAGACACGGUCCAGACUCCUACGGGAGGCAGCAGUGAGGAAUAUUGGUCAAUGGGCGUAAGCCUGAACCAGCCAAGUAGCGUGCAGGAUGACGGCCCUAUGGGUUGUAAACUGCUUUUAUGCGGGGAUAAAGUGGCCCACGUGUGGGUUUUUGCAGGUACCGCAUGAAUAAGGACCGGCUAAUUCCGUG
Molecule: ribosomal RNA, 490 nt
Filed under: uncultured bacterium
Lineage: Bacteria
Description: partial 16S ribosomal RNA
Rfam family: Bacterial small subunit ribosomal RNA
Source: RNAcentral